UCGGGAGAAAAGCUGCCAAAACGACGCGUUUUUCGUGGAUGAAUGUGCCGAGCAAGUUGAAACUUUACUGGAAGCUCAUGAUUCUCUGGAUUAAAUGUGCCACGGAAGAUGACUAAUUCCAUAAAUCCAUCGCCAAUACUACAAAGGGAAGCUCGGCUGUGGCUAGCAGGAAUUCGACGGCGGAUAGGGAGCAAAACGAGUAUCAGAAACCCAUAUUUAUUUACUCAGUUUAUCAUGUUUUCAAUAAUCGUGGGAAAUGUUCGGGGUUUGUACGGAUUUGUUGAACCAUUUUGUUUUCACUGUGAUGUCAAGAAGGCUAUUGUUAUUUAUUUUACUUUAAUGCGCUUUGUCAAGGAGUUAUUUGCUUUAUUAUCUGGGUUGUCCAAGGAUGUUGUGCCUGGCUACUUUGGGCAAAGUUUUUCAACUACAGUGUCAGUGUAUAUAUGGAUUGGAGAGUGGAAUGUCAAUGGAUUUCCUCGGCAUGUUUGCUAGUAAUGUCUGAAAUAUUAUAAUGACUAUAAAGUAUAGUCAGGUAUAUUGUAACAGUUGUGAAGAUGUAUUCUCUCAAACUCUCUCAGCAUUCACAUUAUGACAUUAUUAAUUAUUAUAAGAGCUAAAUAGCUGAUAAAUAGUGUAUUGCCUGCCUCCAUCCCUUCCUUUCUGUGAUGGAUUGUCACCCUUGGUCCCUUUAUACCCAAUGACUCUUCACAGCUGUUGCAAACAUAUCAAAACAUUGUUAAGAUAAUUGGUAAUUCUUAAAAUGCCCAUGCAUAACAUUUCUACCUAUGUCUCCAAAAUUAUCAGCAUGUAUGUACCAUUAUUACAUGUAUUUAUACUGUUACUGUGGCAAUGACCAACAAGUAAUGGGAAUUGCCAAAUAGUUGUCCAUUUCAUGAUGUCAGAGUAUGUUUCUCUGAUGACUGGUUUUCUAUAAAUACCCAGAUAGCAAAGGAAACAACUCAAAUAUUUUAGUGAAGUGAAAAUUAAAAAUAUAAUUUCUCUUUGCAAUAUUGGUGUUGGAAUUUUGAAAUGAGUCAACCCUGAACCAAGUGUUGUAGGUUUUCUCUGGGUAUUACGGUUUACUCACACAGGAAGAAAAAUCUGUUUGAAAAAGUUGUCCACUUUCAUGACCAUUUGACUGGCACUGCAUGCAUUUAUUGUCGACCUACAGACAAGGGAUUCAAAGCAAUACAUUUUGCCAGAAGUAAUUAUUUGCACAUUCAGCUUUUUAUUUUCUUAUCUCAAUCAAUCUGCAGGCAAAAAUCAUUGCAUACAACACAAAUAUAAUGAUGUGGACAUCAAUUGAUAUCUUGUUUUUUUUAAAGAAAUACAAUGGUUUACAUAGGUUAUGAUAUGGUUAGGUAAAAAUAAUACUAUAAACAAAUUAGCAUAAUAUAUCUAACCCAGAAUAAGAACAUCUAUACAAAGUGAGAGAUGCAACUUUAAAUAAUAACAACAUAGUGUUGAUAUAUGUUAAUUUGUAGAUGUAUAUGUAGUUUUCUGUAUAAUUGUAUUAAUAUAUUCUAUAUUGUUAUUAAUAUUUUUUGUAUAUACUUUGUUAUGACUAAAUGCAUCUGAUUGGUUUAAUUUUUGUCACAUGAUCAUAAAAGCUCAUGUAAUUUUCCAGACCCCGCAACAAACUUCCCGACGAAGGGCCUUCGCUCGAAACAUUGUCCUUGUAUUUUUCAGGUAGUUGCAUCCCUACCAAACAGGGGCAAAACUUGAGUUAGGGGGGGGGUCCAGAAAAAUUUUCCACCCCCUCCCCACCCACCCACCUCUGUUCGCCAGCAUUUUGGGGGAAACAGUGGCCAGAAAUGAAAAUUCGCUGCAGGGCAUCAUCGGUUUGGGCAGGGCAAUUCUGGCAGACACCCCCAAAUUAAAAGGGGGGUAGUUUUGCCCCUGCUACCAAACAAAGCUUCAAAUGAAGAUAGUUCUAUGUUACUACCAUGCACUGUGUGUGGCAUAAUAAAUACACUUAGCACUUUACUGGGAAUCUUUAAACUCCUGUGUUUUGUGACUAAAACUAUUUGUAGAUUAAUUUUGCCACUUGAGAUAAAUCCUCAUGAUCACCAG
This 2073-nucleotide long non-coding RNA is filed under the name Paramuricea clavata. The record is from RNAcentral. Lineage: Eukaryota; Metazoa; Cnidaria; Anthozoa; Malacalcyonacea; Plexauridae.